RNAcentral lists this ribosomal RNA (2916 nucleotides) under Pseudomonas sp. 2588-5. RNAcentral describes it as "bacterial LSU rRNA". It matches the Rfam family "Bacterial large subunit ribosomal RNA". The record is from RNAcentral. Lineage: Bacteria; Pseudomonadati; Pseudomonadota; Gammaproteobacteria; Pseudomonadales; Pseudomonadaceae.
GUUAUAUGGUCAAGUGAAGAAGCGCAUACGGUGGAUGCCUUGGCAGUCAGAGGCGAUGAAAGACGUGGUAGCCUGCGAAAAGCUUCGGGGAGUCGGCAAACAGACUUUGAUCCGGAGAUGUCUGAAUGGGGGAACCCAGCCAUCAUAAGAUGGUUAUCUUGUACUGAAUACAUAGGUGCAAGAGGCGAACCAGGGGAACUGAAACAUCUAAGUACCCUGAGGAAAAGAAAUCAACCGAGAUUCCCUUAGUAGUGGCGAGCGAACGGGGACUAGCCCUUAAGUGGCUUUGAGAUUAGCGGAACGCUCUGGAAAGUGCGGCCAUAGUGGGUGAUAGCCCUGUACGCGAAAAUCUCUUAGUCAUGAAAUCGAGUAGGACGGAGCACGAGAAACUUUGUCUGAAUAUGGGGGGACCAUCCUCCAAGGCUAAAUACUACUGACUGACCGAUAGUGAACUAGUACCGUGAGGGAAAGGCGAAAAGAACCCCGGAGAGGGGAGUGAAAUAGAUCCUGAAACCGUAUGCGUACAAGCAGUGGGAGCAGACUUUGUUCUGUGACUGCGUACCUUUUGUAUAAUGGGUCAGCGACUUAUUUUCAGUGGCGAGCUUAACCGAAUAGGGGAGGCGUAGCGAAAGCGAGUCUUAAUAGGGCGUCUAGUCGCUGGGAAUAGACCCGAAACCGGGCGAUCUAUCCAUGGGCAGGUUGAAGGUUGGGUAACACUAACUGGAGGACCGAACCGACUACCGUUGAAAAGUUAGCGGAUGACCUGUGGAUCGGAGUGAAAGGCUAAUCAAGCUCGGAGAUAGCUGGUUCUCCUCGAAAGCUAUUUAGGUAGCGCCUCAUGUAUCACUGUAGGGGGUAGAGCACUGUUUCGGCUAGGGGGUCAUCCCGACUUACCAAACCGAUGCAAACUCCGAAUACCUACAAGUGCCGAGCAUGGGAGACACACGGCGGGUGCUAACGUCCGUCGUGAAAAGGGAAACAACCCAGACCGUCAGCUAAGGUCCCAAAGUUAUGGUUAAGUGGGAAACGAUGUGGGAAGGCUUAGACAGCUAGGAGGUUGGCUUAGAAGCAGCCACCCUUUAAAGAAAGCGUAAUAGCUCACUAGUCGAGUCGGCCUGCGCGGAAGAUGUAACGGGGCUCAAACCAUACACCGAAGCUACGGGUAUCACGUAAGUGAUGCGGUAGAGGAGCGUUCUGUAAGCCUGUGAAGGUGAGUUGAGAAGCUUGCUGGAGGUAUCAGAAGUGCGAAUGCUGACAUGAGUAACGACAAUGGGUGUGAAAAACACCCACGCCGAAAGACCAAGGUUUCCUGCGCAACGUUAAUCGACGCAGGGUUAGUCGGUCCCUAAGGCGAGGCUGAAAAGCGUAGUCGAUGGAAAACAGGUUAAUAUUCCUGUACUUCUGGUUAUUGCGAUGGAGGGACGGAGAAGGCUAGGCCAGCUUGGCGUUGGUUGUCCAAGUUUAAGGUGGUAGGCUGAGAUCUUAGGUAAAUCCGGGAUCUUAAGGCCGAGAGCUGAUGACGAGCUAACUUUUAGUUAGCGAAGUGGUUGAUGCCAUGCUUCCAAGAAAAGCUUCUAAGCUUCAGGUAACCAGGAACCGUACCCCAAACCGACACAGGUGGUUGGGUAGAGAAUACCAAGGCGCUUGAGAGAACUCGGGUGAAGGAACUAGGCAAAAUGGCACCGUAACUUCGGGAGAAGGUGCGCCGGUGAGGGUGAAGGACUUGCUCCGUAAGCUCAUGCCGGUCGAAGAUACCAGGCCGCUGCGACUGUUUAUUAAAAACACAGCACUCUGCAAACACGAAAGUGGACGUAUAGGGUGUGACGCCUGCCCGGUGCCGGAAGGUUAAUUGAUGGGGUUAGCUAACGCGAAGCUCUUGAUCGAAGCCCCGGUAAACGGCGGCCGUAACUAUAACGGUCCUAAGGUAGCGAAAUUCCUUGUCGGGUAAGUUCCGACCUGCACGAAUGGCGUAACGAUGGCGGCGCUGUCUCCACCCGAGACUCAGUGAAAUUGAAAUCGCUGUGAAGAUGCAGUGUAUCCGCGGCUAGACGGAAAGACCCCGUGAACCUUUACUAUAGCUUUGCACUGGACUUUGAAUUUGCUUGUGUAGGAUAGGUGGGAGGCUUUGAAGCGUGGACGCCAGUUCGCGUGGAGCCAUCCUUGAAAUACCACCCUGGCAACUUUGAGGUUCUAACUCAGGUCCGUUAUCCGGAUCGAGGACAGUGUAUGGUGGGUAGUUUGACUGGGGCGGUCUCCUCCUAAAGAGUAACGGAGGAGUACGAAGGUGCGCUCAGACCGGUCGGAAAUCGGUCGUAGAGUAUAAAGGCAAAAGCGCGCUUGACUGCGAGACAGACACGUCGAGCAGGUACGAAAGUAGGUCUUAGUGAUCCGGUGGUUCUGUAUGGAAGGGCCAUCGCUCAACGGAUAAAAGGUACUCCGGGGAUAACAGGCUGAUACCGCCCAAGAGUUCAUAUCGACGGCGGUGUUUGGCACCUCGAUGUCGGCUCAUCACAUCCUGGGGCUGAAGCCGGUCCCAAGGGUAUGGCUGUUCGCCAUUUAAAGUGGUACGCGAGCUGGGUUUAGAACGUCGUGAGACAGUUCGGUCCCUAUCUGCCGUGGACGUUUGAGAUUUGAGAGGGGCUGCUCCUAGUACGAGAGGACCGGAGUGGACGAACCUCUGGUGUUCCGGUUGUCACGCCAGUGGCAUUGCCGGGUAGCUAUGUUCGGAAUAGAUAACCGCUGAAAGCAUCUAAGCGGGAAACUAGCCUCAAGAUGAGAUCUCACUGGAACCUUGAGUUCCCUGAAGGGCCGUCGAAGACUACGACGUUGAUAGGUUGGGUGUGUAAGCGCUGUGAGGCGUUGAGCUAACCAAUACUAAUUGCCCGUGAGGCUUGACCAUAUAACACCCAAGCAAUU